CCGGGAGAGGCGCGGGGCGGGAGGGGCCGGGCGGCCGCGGGGCCUCCGAGAGGCCAGCUCCGGCCUGG
Molecule: microRNA precursor, 68 nt
Filed under: Sorex araneus (European shrew)
Lineage: Eukaryota; Metazoa; Chordata; Mammalia; Eulipotyphla; Soricidae
Description: miRNA (ENSSARG00000017992.1)
Source: RNAcentral